This 2266-nucleotide ribosomal RNA is filed under the name Acinetobacter pittii. RNAcentral's name for it is "partial 23S ribosomal RNA". It matches the Rfam family "Bacterial large subunit ribosomal RNA", at positions 678 to 2925 of the family's 2925-position model. The record is from RNAcentral. Lineage: Bacteria; Pseudomonadati; Pseudomonadota; Gammaproteobacteria; Moraxellales; Moraxellaceae.
CGAGUCUUAAUAGGGCGUUUAGUUGCUGGGUAUAGACCCGAAACCAGGCGAUCUAUCCAUGAGCAGGUUGAAGGUUGGGUAACACUAACUGGAGGACCGAACCCACUGUCGUUGAAAAGCCAGGGGAUGACUUGUGGAUAGGGGUGAAAGGCUAAUCAAGCCUGGUGAUAGCUGGUUCUCCCCGAAAGCUAUUUAGGUAGCGCCUCGGACGAAUACCAUAGGGGGUAGAGCACUGUUUCGGCUAGGGGGUCAUCCCGACUUACCAAACCGAUGCAAACUCCGAAUACCUAUGAGUACUAUCCGGGAGACAGACUGCGGGUGCUAACGUCCGUAGUCAAGAGGAAAACAAUCCAGACCGCCAGCUAAGGCCCCAAAAUCAUAGUUAAGUGGGAAACGAUGUGGGAAGGCAUAGACAGCUAGGAGGUUGGCUUAGAAGCAGCCACCCUUUAAAGAAAGCGUAAUAGCUCACUAGUCGAGUCGGCCUGCGCGGAAGAUGUAACGGGGCUAAAACUAUGUGCCGAAGCUGCGGAUUUGACAUUAGUCAAGUGGUAGGGGAGCGUUCUGUAAGCCGAUGAAGGUGUAUUGAGAAGUAUGCUGGAGGUAUCAGAAGUGCGAAUGCUGACGUGAGUAACGACAAAACGGGUGAAAAACCCGUUCGCCGAAAGACCAAGGGUUCCAGUCCAACGUUAAUCGGGGCUGGGUGAGUCGACCCCUAAGGCGAGGCCGAAAGGCGUAGUCGAUGGGAAAUUGGUUAAUAUUCCAAUACUUCUGUGUAAUGCGAUGAGAGGACGGAGAAGGUUAAGUCAGCCUGGCGUUGGUUGUCCAGGUGGAAGGAUGUAGGUAUGUAUCUUAGGCAAAUCCGGGGUACUCUAUACUGAGAUCCGAUAGCAAGCUGUACUUGUACAGUGAAGUGGCUGAUACCAUGCUUCCAGGAAAAGUCUCUAAGCUUCAGUUACACAGGAAUCGUACCCGAAACCGACACAGGUGGUCAGGUCGAGUAGACCAAGGCGCUUGAGAGAACUCUGCUGAAGGAACUAGGCAAAAUGGUACCGUAACUUCGGGAGAAGGUACGCUGUUGUUGGUGAUGGAACUUGCUUCCUGAGCUGACGACAGCCGCAGAAACCAGGCCGCUGCAACUGUUUAUUAAAAACAUAGCACUCUGCAAACACGAAAGUGGACGUAUAGGGUGUGAUGCCUGCCCGGUGCUGGAAGGUUAAUUGAUGGGGUUAGCGUAAGCGAAGCUCUUGAUCGAAGCCCCAGUAAACGGCGGCCGUAACUAUAACGGUCCUAAGGUAGCGAAAUUCCUUGUCGGGUAAGUUCCGACCUGCACGAAUGGCAUAAUGAUGGCGGCGCUGUCUCCAGCAGAGGCUCAGUGAAAUCGAAAUCGCUGUGAAGAUGCAGUGUACCCGCGGCUAGACGGAAAGACCCCGUGAACCUUUACUGCAGCUUGACACUGAACUUUGACCUUACUUGUGUAGGAUAGGUGGGAGGCUUUGAAGUUGGAACGCUAGUUCCAAUGGAGCCGUCCUUGAAAUACCACCCUGGUAAUGUUGAGGUUCUAACUCUGUCCCGUUAUCCGGGACGAGGACCGUGUCUGGUGGGUAGUUUGACUGGGGCGGUCUCCUCCUAAAGAGUAACGGAGGAGUACGAAGGUGCGCUCAGCGUGGUCGGAAAUCACGCGUAGAGUAUAAAGGCAAAAGCGCGCUUAACUGCGAGACCCACAAGUCGAGCAGGUACGAAAGUAGGUCUUAGUGAUCCGGUGGUUCUGUAUGGAAGGGCCAUCGCUCAACGGAUAAAAGGUACUCUGGGGAUAACAGGCUGAUACCGCCCAAGAGUUCAUAUCGACGGCGGUGUUUGGCACCUCGAUGUCGGCUCAUCUCAUCCUGGGGCUGAAGCAGGUCCCAAGGGUAUGGCUGUUCGCCAUUUAAAGAGGUACGCGAGCUGGGUUUAGAACGUCGUGAGACAGUUCGGUCCCUAUCUACCGUGGGCGCUGGAAAUUUGAGAGGAUCUGCUCCUAGUACGAGAGGACCAGAGUGGACGAACCUCUGGUGUACCGGUUGUGACGCCAGUCGCAUCGCCGGGUAGCUAUGUUCGGAAGGGAUAACCGCUGAAAGCAUCUAAGCGGGAAGCCUACCUCAAGAUAAGAUUUCCCUAGGAAUUUAUUCCUCUAAAGAGCCGUUCGAGACUAGGACGUUGAUAGGUUGGAUGUGGAAGCAUAGUGAUAUGUGAAGCUGACCAAUACUAAUUGCUCGUGAGGCUUGACUAU